Molecule: ribosomal RNA, 421 nt
Filed under: uncultured prokaryote
Description: bacterial SSU rRNA
Rfam family: Bacterial small subunit ribosomal RNA
Source: RNAcentral
CCACGGGUGGCAGCAGUGGGGAAUAUUGGGCAAUGGGCGCAAGCCUGACCCAGCAACGCCGCGUGAGGGAAGAAGGCUUUCGGGUUGUAAACCUCUGUCCUUGGUGACGAAAAAAAUGACGGUAGCCAAGGAGGAAGCCCCGGCUAACUACGUGCCAGCAGCCGCGGUAAUACGUAGGGGGCGAGCGUUGUCCGGAAUUACUGGGCGUAAAGGGUGCGUAGGUGGCCUUUUAAGUUGGAUGUGAAAUCCCCGGGCUUAACUUGGGUGGUGCAUCUAAGACUGGAGGGCGAGAGUGCAGGAGAGGGAAGCGGAAUUCCUAGUGUAGCGGUGAAAUGCGUAGAUAUUAGGAGGAACACCAGUGGCGAAGGCGGCUUUCUGGACUGUAACUGACACUGAGGCGCGAAAGCGUGGGGAGCAAACA